UAACAUCUCCAUAAAAUCCAUACCUGAAAACAAUGAAUGAUGAAUGCAGGAGAAACUCCAAAAAGCAUCUUAAUAAAGCAUAUUUAUUCUAUCACUGUCCAGCCACCACUGGUUUAGAAGAUAUACACACAAAUGUUAAGGAAAUAUAGAAGACAACACAACACUAGUUAAAUUAGCUACACUUGAGUAAGAUCAUACACAGGCCAACCACCAAGGCUGACCUUCACCAAAAUAGCGGAGAAAAAAGAAGCAAAGGGGUCAAGUAUUUUGGGAGCUUCAUUAUCUUAGAGAAAGCAUGGACAAAAUUUAUACGAUAGUAUCAAAUACGCAAUUUAGAACUAUUAGAACUAUAAAGGCUUAAUUUUUUCCCUAACCGAAAAAAGGUAAGAAAGAGAACAAUUUGGUGAAUUGAUAAACUUCAGUACAUGUUUAUUAAACUUGAUCUGGGAAGAUAAGCAUAAGGAUGGAAUGGCACUUGUUAUAGACAGCUAAUGCAAUUUAUAAAACCAUGAUUCAUUAAUGUUUAUUUCAUUUAUUGAUUGUCCAGACUUCCUAGUGGUCUCUCCAUUUAGAAUUUGUAACAUUGCUUAUAUGGUAAAAUAAGGCAAAAAAAGAUUGUCACUUAAUAAAUAGAAAAAGAGAAAAUUUUACAAAAAAACAUAAAACAGCGCAAUAAAGUAACAGCAAGUUGGAUCUCCUGCUCAGCAAUAGUGUCAGUUUCAAAGACAACUGACAAAUGCUAAUGCAUUAGACAACCUUUAACAUUUAUGACAGCAUGUUAUUAAACCAAGUCCCUGCUUACUUAUGAGAUGAAAGACAUUCUUUCCUGUCCCUAUGUAAGAUCUAGCAUAAAAAAAUAUAAAGUUAUCAAUCAAAAUCAUCCUUGUUAUCAUCCUUGUUCUACCAUAAGCGUGCCUUUACAGCCACAUAAAUAAGCUCAGGACAAAAGCAUAAAGAGAAAUUGCAG
Molecule: unclassified non-coding RNA, 967 nt
Filed under: Hevea brasiliensis (rubber tree)
Lineage: Eukaryota; Viridiplantae; Streptophyta; Magnoliopsida; Malpighiales; Euphorbiaceae
Source: RNAcentral